RNAcentral lists this ribosomal RNA (245 nucleotides) under uncultured bacterium. RNAcentral's name for it is "partial 16S ribosomal RNA". It matches the Rfam family "Bacterial small subunit ribosomal RNA", at positions 796 to 1041 of the family's 1533-position model. RNAcentral also lists the same sequence under 1 other name. The record is from RNAcentral.
CACGCCGUAAACGAUGAAUGCUAGCCGUUGGGCAGCUUGCUGUUCAGUGGCGCAGCUAACGCAUUAAGCAUUCCGCCUGGGGAGUACGGCCGCAAGGUUGAAACUCAAAGGAAUUGACGGGGGCCCGCACAAGCGGUGGAGCAUGUGGUUUAAUUCGACGCAACGCGCAGAACCUUACCAGGGUUUGACAUCCUGCGACCGCCUCUUAAUAGGGGUUUUCCCGCAAGGGACGCAGAGACAGGUGC